Molecule: microRNA, 22 nt
Filed under: Apis mellifera (honey bee)
Lineage: Eukaryota; Metazoa; Arthropoda; Insecta; Hymenoptera; Apidae
Description: ame-miR-6066-5p
Source: miRBase by way of RNAcentral
AGGGAGAGGCCUCGUGACCACG